AAUGUAAGUGAAAGACUGAAGUGAAACUCUACACUGAUGCGGCCUAGUCCAGAUCCGGGAUCCGGACCCGCGGUUUCCAGCGCACCGACGGAGCCCAGUUUAAAGUGACGGACGUGCCCCGCAGCCAAUCAGCGCCCGCCGUGCGCCAAAGCUGUGUUUAUCCCACCGGACCGACCAAUCAGAGCGGAGCUCGGCGGCCGAGUGCGUCAUGAGAGCAGAAUGUGAGUGUGGGCUGCCUGUUCCCCGCUCCCAUCCCCCAACCCCAGCGAGCAAUGGCGGCCGCUUUUUGCCGCUUUGUCCUUCUCAUGCUCGGCUUGUAAAAGAGUAGAACACUGGGAAGGCUCCAUUGUGACGGGGAGAGGAUGGAAACUGCAUCUCCCAGCAGCCACUGGGGCUGACCUGAAGGAGAAGAAGCUGGUGGAGGAGAAGGAGAACGGCAAAGAUGCUGCCACCAACGGAAAGGAGAACGAGGAGAACGGGGAGCCCGAGAUAGAUGACGACGACGACGUGGACGAGGAGGAAGAGGAGGAGGAAGAUGAUGAUGGAGCCGAAGAGGAAGAUGAGGAGGAAGACGAAGAGGAGACCGAGGGAGGCACAAAACGGGGACCGGACGACGAGGAAGAUGACGAGGUGAGACAGUGACGCCAGAGGGCGACCGAUCAGGACGUGAGCUCGCCGGCUCCAUAACUAACCGCAUCUUCUUCUUCUCUGCUUCCAGGAAGUCACUGCCAAGAAGCCGAAAACCGACGACGAUUGAUGCGUUUUCCCCCCGCACCGUCCUGCUGAACCACUUCCUGAUUCUUCACCUCUGACCGUUUUUCUGAGUCACAGGUGGAGGGGCUGGAGGACUGAUCUAAAGGAAAAAAAUAAUAAAAAAAUCCAACAUGGUCAUUAGCAAGUAGAGUUCAACAAACACCCACCACGGCCACACUCUCGAUCUCCCCUCAAAGCUGCAAAACAAAUUUUCUAGAGGAACCCGCCACGACAUCGACGCAGAAAUCCGGCUUCUCUUCAACAACACGAAAGGAGAAUUUGUUUGUAUUUUUAUUUACAUUUUAUAUUUUUGUACAUAUUGUUAGGAGGGGGUCCGAUUCUCUCUUGGCAGCGAUCUCGUCAGACCAAAUCGGUGCUUCUUUAACAAAAGAUUUUACUUGGUUGACCAUGUUACGAUAUCUCAACAGAUACUAGAAAAACCUGUAAAAAAGUUAAAAAAAAAUGAAAGAACCUCUUAAGCCGUUGAACUCAGAGCAUUCCAGUAAAUUUAAUGUAUGUACUUUAGCUGUACCAUAACUAGUUUGUUUGUAUGGGAGGGUAAGGCCAAAGAAAAGAGCCUCUUUUCUUUUUCUUUUAUUUUGUUUUUGUCAGCGACUUUUUGUUUUAUGACGGCCUGUUUUGAUGUAUGUGCGAAGUUUGUUGUUUGACAAUAAACCGGACUUUUAUUUUGUGAGUUGUACUUUGUUUCCCAGCUCGUUAUGUUUUUGGUUUCUUUUAAUGUGGCGGUCCAGCUUCGGCACAGGGGUCAGAGGUCGGCAGCUGCAGUACUUCAGGUGAAAGUAUCCACGUGCACAUUUACUCACAGCUGCUGAGUCCAGAACACAAGCACUUAACAUGUCGCAGAUUAAAUGAACGGUCCCCAACCUGUGGGCCGGGGCCCCAUGCAGGCUCACAAGAUUUCCUGUUGAGUACACAAGGUAUUUAGGCUAAUAAGUACAUUUACUCAGGUAUUACUGUUACACCCCCCCCCCAGCAGUACAGACCUUUAUUCCAUAUUAAACACAAGAUGCAGCGGUUCUGAAUCUGAAGGUCCAGAAAAACAAAGUCUGAGAUCAAUGAGAGGAGGAGGUGAAGGUUUUAAAGCUCCUCAGUGUCGUAAGCCAGAGAAUCAAACAGUAAUCAAUAAUCAAUUCACAUUAUUUCUAAUAACAUACCAGUGCUGAGGACGAUACCUUUGUACUGCACAGUGAGUACUUUUACUUCAGUUUUACUGUUUAUG
Molecule: long non-coding RNA, 1993 nt
Organism: Mastacembelus armatus (zig-zag eel)
Lineage: Eukaryota; Metazoa; Chordata; Actinopteri; Synbranchiformes; Mastacembelidae
Product: prothymosin alpha b
Source: Ensembl